AUGUUGAAAUACCGGUUCUCAUCCAAUCACCAAAGUUAAGCAACAUAGAACCCAGUCAGUGCUUAGACGGGUGACCACUUGGGAAUACCAGGUGCUGUAAU
Acanthosepion pharaonis is the source of this 101-nucleotide non-coding RNA. NCBI's taxonomy places the organism in Eukaryota, Metazoa, Mollusca, Cephalopoda, Sepiida, Sepiidae. The record is from the annotation of a GenBank genome assembly.